RNAcentral lists this ribosomal RNA (492 nucleotides) under uncultured bacterium. Its description in RNAcentral is "partial 16S ribosomal RNA". It matches the Rfam family "Bacterial small subunit ribosomal RNA", at positions 29 to 507 of the family's 1533-position model. The record is from RNAcentral.
AGUGAACGCUGGCGGUAGGCCUAACACAUGCAAGUCGAACGGCAGCACAGUAAGAGCUUGCUCUUACGGGUGGCGAGUGGCGGACGGGUGAGGAAUACAUCGGAAUCUACUUUUUCGUGGGGGAUAACGUAGGGAAACUUACGCUAAUACCGCAUACGACCUACGGGUGAAAGCAGGGGAUCUUCGGACCUUGCGCGAUUGAAUGAGCCGAUGUCGGAUUAGCUAGUUGGCGGGGUAAAGGCCCACCAAGGCGACGAUCCGUAGCUGGUCUGAGAGGAUGAUCAGCCACACGGGAACUGAGACACGGUCCAGACUCCUACGGGAGGCAGCAGUGGGGAAUAUUGGACAAGGGGCGCAAGCCUGAUCCAGCCAUACCGCGUGGGUGAAGAAGGCCUUCGGGUUGUAAAGCCCUUUUGUUGGGAAAGAAAAGCAGCAGGUUAAUACCCCGCUGUUCUGACGGUACCCAAAGAAUAAGCACCGGCUAACUUCGUG